AGAAUCAACGCUGGCGGCGUGCCUAACACAUGCAAGUCGAACGCGAAAGUGGAGCAAUCCAUGAGUAGAGUGGCAAACGGGUGAGUAACGCGUGGGCGACCUGCCUUUCGAGUGGGGGAUAAACAUUCCGAAAGGGAUGCUAAUACCGCAUAACAUCCUUCGUUUAGAUACGAGGUGAUCAAAGCUGGGAGCAAUCCUGGCGCUUAAAGAGGGGCCCGCGUCCGAUUAGCUAGUUGGUGGGUAAUGGCCUACCAAGGCUCCGAUCGGUAU
RNAcentral lists this ribosomal RNA (270 nucleotides) under uncultured bacterium. Its description in RNAcentral is "partial small subunit ribosomal RNA". It matches the Rfam family "Bacterial small subunit ribosomal RNA", at positions 26 to 286 of the family's 1533-position model. The record is from RNAcentral.